This 304-nucleotide long non-coding RNA is filed under the name Volvox carteri. RNAcentral's name for it is "long non-coding RNA (VCAR_LNC001711)". The record is from RNAcentral. Lineage: Eukaryota; Viridiplantae; Chlorophyta; Chlorophyceae; Chlamydomonadales; Volvocaceae.
AGGAGGUUGUGUACGCAUGCAGGUGAUGCCGCGAUGAUAUGACGGUAUGACGUGCAACAGCAUGUGCUGCGGCUAGAUUAGGGCUGUGGGCCGCUGCAGCUGCAGGUAAAACCGUAAGGUUGAUGUUGGCUGAAAGGGAAACAUCCUGCAGUCAGUGCUGAAUGGUUUUGUGUAAGUGUUUGUGCAGCCAGAUGGAACGAAAGGACUGCUGGCCGGUUGCCCGACUCUAAAAAGGGAAGUACACACCUGCGAAUUCCCUAGCUGAACAGAGCAGGAAGACAUGCCAAAAGAACUAUAAAUCUAG